CCCUAAAACUCUAAACCUCCAUGGUCGAACCUUUUUUUCUUUCUUUUUUUGUAAUCAUUCUCUGGUCUAAUCGAAUCCGUGAAAACCUAAUAAAACCGCCAUUGACAAACCUUUAAACCUACCGGAGGAAAAAUCGAAUUAGUUAACCCUAAAGGCCUAAACCCUAAAAACCCGCCAUUUCCAAACUUUAAAUCCUACGCUAAAUUUCCCACCGUAAACCAUAACCCUAAGAUCGCGCAAGAGAAUCAGGAAACUACUCGCAGUUUCAGGCGAAACAGGAGGAGGAGGAUUUGCGAUCGGAGGAGAAUCCAUCUUUCUGGUGAAGAAAAAAAAGAGAUUCUGGUGAAGAAAAAUAUUGGGUCUUUGGAAUAUGAAGAAAGAAGAAGAGAGAAACUGAUUUUAAGAAGUAGAGAGAAACUGAUUUUGAUCUGAGGCAAAGUUCAUUAAAUUGGUGAGGGAAUGAAACUUAGACUUGUUGGAGGUUGAUCAGGUGCUUGGAGACUGUUUUUUCAUAGUUUCUUUAGUAAAAUUUGAAACUGGUAGUCUUGAAAAGAGAAGAGUUAAACGAGACAGUUCGCUCCGCUCCGUAGUGGCUGUCGUUUAGAGGAUUGAUGUUCACCCCGAGAAUGCUGUCAAGUUGAACAGAGUAUCUGCUUACUGAAUUCAGAACCUAGCUGAGGAGUCUGCUCAAAAAUUUUCAUGAUGAUAUUAUUGGCUCUGCAAAACAGCUGUUACCCUUUGUAAUCUCUGAUCUCUCCCUCGGAAGAAUUUGCUUGCUUAGGGUGCACCUGACUGAUAUAACUAAGCAAAAGGAAAGUCCGGUGUUAGAGUAGUCUCAUGACUUUACAAUGUUUCUUUCUUUGCCAACUUAGUGAACAGCAUAGAAACCGUUUUGACCAUGAAGAAUUCGACUAAACGCAAUGCGUUGGAGAAAGAUUUAUGAUUCCCCAAGAUAUAUGUAAACAAGAUUAAGUUAGACUUGUGUGUAUGUUUUUAUAUCAUAUUGACUAUAAUUUAUCACAUGAGGAUAUCCAUUGUUUUC
Long non-coding RNA from Arabidopsis lyrata subsp. lyrata, 1042 nucleotides. RefSeq lists it as uncharacterized. The transcript has 2 exons. The record is from RefSeq and is a predicted model, not a curated record. Lineage: Eukaryota; Viridiplantae; Streptophyta; Magnoliopsida; Brassicales; Brassicaceae.